Molecule: ribosomal RNA, 429 nt
Filed under: bacterium
Lineage: Bacteria
Description: partial 16S ribosomal RNA
Rfam family: Bacterial small subunit ribosomal RNA
Source: RNAcentral
UAGGGAAUCUUCGGCAAUGGGGGCAACCCUGACCGAGCAACGCCGCGUGAGUGAAGAAGGUUUUCGGAUCGUAAAGCUCUGUUGUAAGAGAAGAACGUGUGUGAGAGUGGAAAGUUCACACAGUGACGGUAACUUACCAGAAAGGGACGGCUAACUACGUGCCAGCAGCCGCGGUAAUACGUAGGUCCCGAGCGUUGUCCGGAUUUAUUGGGCGUAAAGCGAGCGCAGGCGGGUUAAUAAGUCUGAAGUUAAAGGCAGUGGCUUAACCAUUGGUCGCUUUGGAAACUGUUAAACUUGAGUGCAGAAGGGGAGAGUGGAAUUCCAUGUGUAGCGGUGAAAUGCGUAGAUAUAUGGAGGAACACAGGUGGAGAAAGCGGCUCUCUAGUCUGUAACUGACGCUGAGGCUCGAAAGCGUGGGGAGCAAACAGG